Molecule: ribosomal RNA, 350 nt
Filed under: uncultured bacterium
Lineage: Bacteria
Description: bacterial SSU rRNA
Rfam family: Bacterial small subunit ribosomal RNA
Source: RNAcentral
AGAGUUUGAUCAUGGCUCAGGAUGAACGCUAGCUACAGGCUUAACACAUGCAAGUCGAGGGGAAACGACAUCGAAAGCUUGCUUUUGAUGGGCGUCGACCGGCGCACGGGUGAGUAACGCGUAUCCAACCUGCCCAUCACUUGGGGAUAACCUUGUGAAAGUAAGACUAAUACCCAAUGACGUCUCUAGAAGACAUCUGAAAGAGAUUAAAGAUUUAUCGGUGAUGGAUGGGGAUGCGUCUGAUUAGCUUGUUGGCGGGGUAACGGCCACCAAGGCGACGAUCAGUAGGGGUUCUGAGAGGAAGGUCCCCCANAUUGGAACUGAGACACGGUCAAACUCCUACGGGAGCA